GAACGAGUUAUCUGACCUUCGGGGAACGAUAACGGCGUCGAGCGUUGCGACGGGUGAGUAAUGCCUAGGAAAUUGCCCUGAUGUGGGGGAUAACCAUUGGAAACGAUGGCUAAUACCGCAUAAUGCCUACGGGCCAAAGAGGGGGACCUUCGGGCCUCUCGCGUCAGGAUAUGCCUAGGUGGGAUUAGCUAGUUGGCGAGGUAAUGGCUCCUGGGCGACGAUGCGUAGCUGGUCUGAAGGGUGAUGACCAUCUGGACCUGCCCCCGGUCCCAGUCUUACGGAGGAGCUCGGGGAAUUCGCACAUGAGCGCUGCCUGAGGGACAUGGUUGGUGCGUGAGGGCUUAGCCUGCUUGCAUUCCGAGUGAGGAGGCCUGCGCACUGUUCAAUUCCAAGGCCCAUCCACUUGGAAGUCUCUGGAGCAGAGAGGAAGGUCUCGCGUGCUCAAUAACCACUGUCCACCGCUCGUGCGGCCCCGCAUCUUAGAUUUAUCUUGCGACCGAUCCCCAGCGUCUACUAGGCGAAACUCCAAGCCACGGUCAGGCUCACCUCAGUAACUCGUUACGAUGACACAGGUAUCUAUCUGUUGCUCCCAGCUUCCACUAAUGUCAUAUUGUCGGGGCCCUUGCACGUAUUCUUCAAUUCUACCAUCCCCUCACGAAGUCACCCCUCACGACCUGUCGCCGUCAAGGUAUGCAGGUGACCCGAUUUCCUCUAUUAGAACACGCUCCUUGGCCAGUAUCCAUAAGUCCCCUCAUAUUACGCGCUGUGCCGAAUAUCCGGUUGUUGCGCACGAAUAUAACAUACUACACUCCCACACGGAAUGAUUGAACCAAGCUCUCACACCGAGCUGUCGGUGGCCAUGGAUUCCGAUGGCCCCAAAACUAGACUGUAAUCCGGGCUGACCCUCAAAGAGAGUGCCUGGGACUAACCCAAGGUAUCAUGAGAUCCAGCGGAGCCAGUCCCUU
Molecule: ribosomal RNA, 965 nt
Filed under: Vibrio sp. Sl12
Lineage: Bacteria; Pseudomonadati; Pseudomonadota; Gammaproteobacteria; Vibrionales; Vibrionaceae
Description: partial 16S ribosomal RNA
Rfam family: Bacterial small subunit ribosomal RNA (bases 50-284)
Source: RNAcentral